AGUGGGCUGUCUGAGUGGCUUAAGGAGCUCGCCUGGAAAGCGUGUAACGGUUUAUACCCGUUCUAGGGUUCGAAUCCCUAGCCCACUGCCA
This 91-nucleotide transfer RNA is filed under the name Psychromonas sp. Urea-02u-13. RNAcentral's name for it is "tRNA-Ser". It matches the Rfam family "tRNA". From Rfam's summary of the family: Transfer RNA (tRNA) molecules are approximately 80 nucleotides in length. Lineage: Bacteria; Pseudomonadati; Pseudomonadota; Gammaproteobacteria; Alteromonadales; Psychromonadaceae. The record is from RNAcentral.